GUGGGGGAUAACCAUUGGAAACGAAGGCUAAUACCGCAUAAUAGCUUCGGCUCAAAGAGGGGGACCUUCGGGCCUCUCGCGUCAGGAUAUGCCCAGGUGGGAUUAGCUAGUUGGUGAGGUAAGGGCUCACCAAGGCGACGAUCCCUAGCUGGUCUGAGAGGAUGAUCAGCCACACUGGAACUGAGACACGGUCCAGACUCCUACGGGAGGCAGCAGUGGGGAAUAUUGCACAAUGGGCGCAAGCCUGAUGCAGCCAUGCCGCGUGUAUGAAGAAGGCCUUCGGGUUGUAAAGUACUUUCAGCAGUGAGGAAGGUGGGUACGUUAAUAGCGUGCUUGUUUGACGUUAGCUGCAGAAGAAGCACCGGCUAACUCCGUGCCAGCAGCCGCGGUAAUACGGAGGGUGCGAGCGUUAAUCGGAAUUACUGGGCGUAAAGCGCAUGCAGGUGGUUUGUUAAGUCAGAUGUGAAAGCCCGGGGCUCAACCUCGGAAUUGCAUUUGAAACUGGCAGACUAGAGUACUGUAGAGGGGGGUAGAAUUUCAGGUGUAGCGGUGAAAUGCGUAGAGAUCUGAAGGAAUACCGGUGGCGAAGGCGGCCCCCUGGACAGAUACUGACACUCAGAUGCGAAAGCGUGGGGAGCAAACAGGAUUAGAUACCCUGGUAGUCCACGCCGUAAACGAUGUCUACUUGGAGGUUGUGGCCUUGAGCCGUGGCUUUCGGAGCUAACGCGUUAAGUAGACCGCCUGGGGAGUACGGUCGCAAGAUUAAAACUCAAAUGAAUUGACGGGGGCCCGCACAAGCGGUGGAGCAUGUGGUUUAAUUCGAUGCAACGCGAAGAACCUUACCUACUCUUGACAUCCAGAGAACUUUCCAGAGAUGGAUUGGUGCCUUCGGGAGCUCUGAGACAGGUGCUGCAUGGCUGUCGUCAGCUCGUGUUGUGAAAUGUUGGGUUAAGUCCCGCAACGAGCGCAACCCUUAUCCUUGUUUGCCAGCACUUCGGGUGGGAACUCCAGGGAGACUGCCGGUGAUAAACCGGAGGAAGGUGGGGACGACGUCAAGUCAUCAUGGCCCUUACGAGUAGGGCUACACACGUGCUACAAUGGCGCAUACAGAGGGCGGCCAACUUGCGAGAGUGAGCGAAUCCCAAAAAGUGCGUCGUAGUCCGGAUUGGAGUCUGCAACUCGACUCCAUGAAGUCGGAAUCGCUAGUAAUCGUGGAUCAGAAUGCCAUAGAGAAU
RNAcentral lists this ribosomal RNA (1235 nucleotides) under Vibrio brasiliensis. Its description in RNAcentral is "bacterial SSU rRNA". It matches the Rfam family "Bacterial small subunit ribosomal RNA", at positions 136 to 1367 of the family's 1533-position model. The record is from RNAcentral. Lineage: Bacteria; Pseudomonadati; Pseudomonadota; Gammaproteobacteria; Vibrionales; Vibrionaceae.